GACGAACGCUGGCGGCGUGCCUAAUACAUGCAAGUAGAACGCUGAAGAGAGGAGCUUGCUCUUCUUGGAUGAGUUGCGAACGGGUGAGUAACGCGUAGGUAACCUGCCUUGUAGCGGGGGAUAACUAUUGGAAACGAUAGCUAAUACCGCAUAACAAUGGAUGACACAUGUCAUUUAUUUGAAAGGGGCAAUUGCUCCACUACAAGAUGGACCUGCGUUGUAUUAGCUAGUAGGUGAGGUAAUGGCUCACCUAGGCGACGAUACAUAGCCGACCUGAGAGGGUGAUCGGCCACACUGGGACUGAGACACGGCCCAGACUCCUAAGGGAGGGAGCAGGAGGGAAUCUUCGGCAAUGGGGGCAACCCUGACCGAGCAACGCCGCGGGAGUGAAGAAGGGUUUCGGAUCGGAAAGCUCUGUUGUAAGUCAAGAACGGGUGUGAGAGUGGAAAGUUCACACUGUGACGGUAGCUUAACAGAAAGGGACGGCUAACUACGUG
RNAcentral lists this ribosomal RNA (497 nucleotides) under uncultured bacterium. Its description in RNAcentral is "partial 16S ribosomal RNA". It matches the Rfam family "Bacterial small subunit ribosomal RNA", at positions 28 to 507 of the family's 1533-position model. The record is from RNAcentral.